Molecule: small nucleolar RNA, 107 nt
Organism: Dioscorea cayenensis subsp. rotundata (Guinea yam)
Lineage: Eukaryota; Viridiplantae; Streptophyta; Magnoliopsida; Dioscoreales; Dioscoreaceae
Source: RefSeq, a predicted model, not a curated record
AAGCCGUGAUGAGGACACUUGCGAAGAAUGUCCUUAAAUCGUUCAUGGGAUUCAAAGAGUGUCUCCGUAUCACCUUGCCUAAAAGAUGAUAUCUCUUGUCUCAGUCU